UGGGGAAUCUUGGACAAUGGGGGCAACCCUGAUCCAGCCAUGCCGCGUGAGUGAUGAAGGCCUUAGGGUCGUAAAGCUCUUUCGCCUGUGAAGAUAAUGACGGUAGCAGGUAAAGAAACCCCGGCUAACUCCGUGCCAGCAGCCGCGGUAAUACGGAGGGGGUUAGCGUUGUUCGGAAUUACUGGGCGUAAAGCGCACGUAGGCGGACCAGAAAAGUUGGGGGUGAAAUCCCGGGGGCUCAACCCCGGAAACUGCCUCCAAAACUAUUGGUCUAGAGUUCGAGAGAGGUGAGUGGAAAUUCCAAGUGUAGAGGUGAAAAUUCGUAGAUAUUUGGAGGAACACCAGUGGCGAAAGGCGGCUCACUGGCUCGAUACUGACGCUGAGGUGCGAAAAGUGUGGGGAGCAAAACAGGAUUAGAUACCCUGGUAGUCCACAACCGUAAAACGAUGAAAAUGCCAAGUCGUCGGGUAGCAUGCUAUUCGGUGACAACACCUAA
This 496-nucleotide ribosomal RNA is filed under the name uncultured bacterium. RNAcentral describes it as "bacterial SSU rRNA". It matches the Rfam family "Bacterial small subunit ribosomal RNA", at positions 355 to 856 of the family's 1533-position model. The record is from RNAcentral.